GUGCUCACUUCAGCAGCACAUCAACUAUGGAAUGAAACAGAGAAGAUUGGCGUGGCUCUGCACAAGGAUGACAUGCAGAUUUGUGAAGAAUGCUUAAUAUAU
Molecule: small nuclear RNA, 102 nt
Organism: Suricata suricatta (meerkat)
Lineage: Eukaryota; Metazoa; Chordata; Mammalia; Carnivora; Herpestidae
Source: Ensembl